Molecule: long non-coding RNA, 9410 nt
Filed under: Carica papaya (papaya)
Lineage: Eukaryota; Viridiplantae; Streptophyta; Magnoliopsida; Brassicales; Caricaceae
Description: long non-coding RNA (CPAP_LNC010524)
Source: RNAcentral
UGACUGGUGUUUCAGAAAGAUCAAGAACUUCAAGCCUUGUGAGCUUUUCCAAGCCUGACGUGUCUUCUAUGUGUGACCACCCUCUCAACGACAACUGGGUUAAGUUAGUUAGGAAGAAGACAUCUAUGUAAAUAGGAGUUUUAGACAGGUUGAGAAUCCGAAGGUUCCUCAUAUAACUAAGUAAAUCACUCAUCAAAUAAAGUUUUCCAAGAGGAGGAUAUCUUAUAUUAGAAAUAUUGAGCUCCUCAAGAUUUGAUAGAGACCCUAUAAUGGGAAAGUAAACAUCCCGAAUUCCACAAAGUCUUAGUAUCCGAAGUUGAGACAAACCCAAAAGAGUAUGGGAAUACUCACCAUGUAAUGACAAAUCAGUGCAACCUGAAAGAUCAAUCACUUCCAGAUUUUUGGGGACAGCUGGCAACCGGCUAAGGGAGGAACAACCACGUAGGAUAAGCUGGCGCAUAUUUGGGAACUGGCUGUAAUCAAAACCUGUCAGAGAACGUGCAUUAGUGAGGUCAAGUACCUCAAGCCUUGCAAGUCCUUCCAUUUCUGGGAGAUGCUCUAAGAAUUUGCAUUCCCUUAAAAUGAUAGUGUGAAGGUUAGGAAGGUGGGAGAGUGAUGGUAAAGACCGAACUUCGGUAUCUGAGAGGUUUAGGCAACGAAGGCACCCCAAAUGUUGAAAGGAUUGAUCUUCAAUUUCAACUACAUUAGAGGAACCAGAAACAUCAAGAAAUUCAAGGUCUCUACAAGCUUCUGUACUUGGCAGCUUUGUCAGUCUAGUACAAUUUCUUAGCAAAAUAUGAGAAAUGUUGCAAGUGAUAGAAGGGUAGGCAUACAAGUCAGUUUUAGAUAAAUCAAGAACUUUAAGACUAGGUGAAAUGUCAUCAUAGAUCUCUUUUAAACAAAUAGCACCAGAAAGAUCAAGAACUUGGAGAUUAGAAAGCCCUUUUAUCCUUGAAAGUCUAGUUAAGGAUUUACAAUUUCUCAAGACAAGCUGUGUUAGCUCUUCGAGACCAGAUAGAAUUGGUAGGCGAUCAAUCUGCGAAUGAGAAACAUCAAGGAUCUUGAGUUUUGGUAACUGAUAAAAGGUUUUAUCAUAGAAUUUUUCAAAACAUGAAGCACCAUUAAGGUCAAUGACCUCAAGCUUUUUCAAGGCACUUAGUCGUGGAAGCAUUUUCAGGUGGCGACAUCCUCUCAAGAUAAGCCAGCGUAAUUCAGUUAAGUUGGAAAUAGAAAUAGGUAACCUUUCAACCCGUGCUCCACAGAAGUUGAGACUUUGGAGUUGAAGCAUAUGCUGCAAAAAAUCAUCUGGAAUUGUUGUCAAUGAUAUAGCACCAGAUAUCUCGAGAGUAACUAAUGAUUUGAGUCCUUGUAUCUGAUUAAUAUUCUCCAGAAACUCACAGCCCCGUAAGAUAAGCAUUGUAAGCUCUUGCAUGUGUGAAAAGGAUGCUGGCAGAGAUUUGAGCAUGGGAUUGAAGAUGCCAAGAACACUGAGACCAUUCAGGCGAUGAAAGAAUGCAUCCGGGUCUUCCUUGCCUAGACAAUUACCGUCAAGCAAUAAUGUUGAGAUUUUCUCUGAUUUGCUGCUAUAUCCAACCGUUCUUAUUACACCAUCAAUUACUGCAAUGUCCCCAAAUCCUUCCCACAUUUUGUCCUCCAAAGCAGGAAUCAUAGAGCAGAUCUCUGUAUCUAUAAAUCUUUGGAAAUCCGUACCUGAAUAAUGUCCUCCAUCUCUGUUCUUUUCGUAAAUCAGAUAAUCUUCUAAACCUCGUAUCCACCAACAAGGCAGUUUCAUUGCACAUCCCACCAUUACAACACAGUUGGACUCCACAUGCCUGAGAAGGCCUAGAUUUAUAAGGUCCACGAGAACCGAGUAACCCUUCUUAAAAGCAUCCUCAAUACAAUCAAUAGGACCAAGACAACCUUCCAUAAUCCAGUGGGCUAUCAAUUGAGUGAAAUUAACAGGACCAUUCAUGUGAAUGUACUGCCAGCUGUGCCAGAAACAAUGAAUUAGAUCAUUGGUUGGCAUAACUGCAUGUGCAAUUUGGAGAAAACAAAGGAAUAAUGCUAGAGGCAUCAGUAAUUGUUGGGACUGCUCCAAACUUUUCUCUCGAAGCCCGAUGUUUAUAUUCCAUAAUAUAAUUUAAUGCUUCUGCCAUAGCCUCAAUCUUAGCAGGAUUACCCUCACUUUCUUCAUGGAUACCUCUAAAUAGCAGUUUAAAAUCUGGAUCUCUAACCUUUUCUUGCAAAAGAUUGAUGGUCUCUGUAGCAGACAAGGGUUCAAUCUCCAACACCUUCGCGUAAGGACCAUCAUUAGGUUUUCCAGAGUAAUCUAUGGUAGUCACCAAGACUUUAAAUGAAGGCUGCUUAAAAUCAGGAACCAAGGAUUCAAAUUCUGAUACAGUUUCAUAUGCUUCCACUCCCUUACAAAAUCCAUCCAAGAUUAGAAGACACCUCUUCUUACCAGUAGCUGCUGAUAUUUUCUGUUUCAGAUUAGCUUCCGCCUGCAUCUCCUCGUACUCAUCGUCAUCACCAUCGUCAUCCGCAUCCCACUCCUCAGUUGGAAGACAUAUAGGCAACUGAGCAGCAAUCCUCUCAAGCGGAGAUUCCUUGUCAUGUUUUCUGCUCAUAGACAGCCAAAAACAUAAAUCAAACUGACUUUCUUGCUUUACAAUAUCAUGAACCUUUUUCGCCGUCCAUGUUUUCCCUAUUCCUGGUUUCCCAACAAGACAUACUACUUUAACAUGGUCAUCGCACAGCUCUUUCAGUAUGAAUCGUACGCGCAAAUCCAGUGUGUCCCCGUUAUCCAUGGCCGAUCCUGUUGCAAAAUGUUCGUAUGAGGAAGUAUCUUCCUGUUAGGCACCAGUAAAUAAGAAACAAGCAAUCACAGAGUCAAGAUAUACGACGAUAAGGUGAUUGAAGUUACAGCUUGAGAUUAUAGGAGUUACGGUAAGAAUGGUGGAAGAGAAUGUUCCUUAAGAUAACUAAGAGCAAAGUUAGUUUCUAUAUGCAAAAACAAUUCAGAUCUAAAGCUGUCCAAGAUAAAUAAGAGAAAAUUUCAAGUGUGGUGAAUAAUCAUGAAGAAGAGUGAAGAAAAAAAAAAAAAAAAAAAAAAACCUGCAGAUUUCGAUUGGCUACUCCGACAGAAGCAAUAUCAGCUAGCAGGAGCUUCUUCUGGGCGAAGAUAAAAUUAUGUGUACUCCGACAAGACAAAGUGGAUUAGAUCACACCCAAUAAACUAUAUAUAUGGAAUUAAAUAUAAUUUAAUCUGAAGUUUUAUGUAAAGCCAACUCAAUUUUAAAAUGUUAUAAAUAAUUAAUUAUUAUAAGCAUUUUCACUUUUAUUUUAUUUUAUUAUUAUUAUUUUAAUUAUAAAUAAUUAUUAUAUCUAUUUAGAUUAAAAUAUACGAGUAACAAAAGCCGGUUAAAAUUUUUUUAACCCAGAAUGAAAUUAAUUUUUUUUUUAUUAAAUUAAAUACAACCAACUAAAACUAAAAUUUUAUUGUAAAAUAUAUAUUAUCGUAUCAAUUUUAUUUUAAAACCAUAAGGAUUAAAUAUAUAAAAAUUUCUAAAAUAUAUAUUAUCCAAAGAGCAUGUUAUCCUUCAUAGGUUGCUGAAUCAUGUCUUAAACAGUAUAUGAUUCUGUCUACAAGAUGGUUGCCCAAAAUCAGAAAGUGCUUCUUUUGCUGCAAAGAACUGGGCAUGAUUAGGACUCACGAACACUGCAAUCUUUAAAGAAAAACUCGUAAUAUUAUAUGUUCAAUCCCUCAGGGUUCCACCAACUCCUGAUUUCGCCAACAAAGAGGAGCCAUCGACAUCGAACACCCACAGACGAACAAGAGAAGGAAUCCAUGCGUCGGCUCUUUUGCUCGAAACACAGCCCAACUCUGGAAUUAGAUGAGCAGAUGUUACUUACUGAAAAUAUCUUUAAAGACUAAAUUUUGAUUGACAUAAUUACAACAGCACAAACAAAAGCAUGAUAAAAGCAGAUUACUACGAAGCCUACAUAACCCACAAUUACACUUAUUAGCGACGCGUCAAGCCUUCACUCCAUAUAUGUAUCCUCAAUAGCAGAUUAUGCAGCAAAUUUAAUACCAAAUACAGCAGCAUUUGCACCAGACUAUAUAAUCAUCUCAUCUUUUAUGUAAAAAAGCUUGAGCUUAAAUCAAACAAGCAAUUUUCACUUGAAAUCUUAUCAACAUGUUACUCAAUCUUACAUCCACUGCGAAGAUCAUAAAAACCAAAUCCACAACAGCCACAAACACAAACUCUGACCUACCAGCAACUUUACCAUCAGAGAAAACCAAUGAAAAAAUUACAUUUCAACAGCCAAUCUGCUUCUUCCUUCAUCCUCCAAGGAUUUUUUGUACACGCUGAAAAUUCACAAUUUCCUCAUAUCCCAGACAAACUCAAAAAAAAUUAAAGCUUCAAGAUGAAACAGACUUGAGUCCCCAACACAUAACAGCAGCAACCACCUGUUAGCUAGCUAGCCGAAUUCUUCCAACCUUUAAACUGCAGGAUAACCACCCAACGCCUCAUAAAAAUCACUUUCACAAUUCAGCAAACCAGAGCAUAUUCUUCAUGAAGUAGCAACGUGAUGACAAAACCAGCACCAAAAACAAGAAAAUAGACAGCUCCAAAGCAGUAGAAACGAUAGGUCCGCUUCUCAUCAUUUAAAAAAAAAAAACAAAGCGUCAUAGUACCUGUAGAACGAAACAAGUUAACUGGGUGCAGACAAAUUACCUGCAAAAACUUACACGUCAUAAGACCAACAACGUCAUUGAGCAUUUAAAUUUAAAUGUUAUAUAAAAAAACUAUUUUAGAUUUUCAUUUCAGAGAGAGAAAGUUUACAGAAUGUUGUACUUAAAGACUCAAAAGUCAUCUAUUACGAAAUUGUUUUUGGGUAUCAUAAAAAAUUAGAUUGGGUAUUUAACUACCACAAGUUCUCUUAAUAGAAGUUUCAAAGAGCAGCAGCCUGAAAACUUGCAGCUAUUGGAGUGAUGCUGAAAUUUACCCUGUUAAAGGACUAUUCUUUUUAAUGCUGAAAUUUACCUUGUUAAAGGAUUGCCUUUUUAAAUGUUGAAACUUUGUCGGGAAAAAUUAAUCUCUAAAACAUGCACAAUCACGUUAAAAUAGAAGUAGAAAGAAAAAGGACACAAGGUUUUACGUGAUUUGGCAGUGUGCCUACAUCUACGGGUAAAACCGACAAGAAAGUAUUUUAUUAUGUAAUCUCAAAGUACAUCACCAAUAAAUUAACAAACUUAUUUCUAAAGAAACUAAUAAAUUUUUUUACAAACAAAAAUUAUUUAAAAUAUAUUACCCGAAUUUUUUUAUUCAUUUCGUCUCUUCAACAUAGGACAAUCUCUCCUAAAGUGACUAUUCUCCUCACAAUCAAAAUAGUUUUCCUUUUUACCUCUAAAUUUUGAUUUGCUCAUUCUCUAUGCUCUUUCCCUGCUUACCAAACCUUCCCCUUUUGUUAUAUACUUUAUAAAAUUCUUUUGCAACUCUUUUGACUUUAGUGCAUUGCUAACAUCAUUUAGUAAAAUACUAAGUUUUCUAUUUAGUAAAGCAUCAACAAAAGUUUUAUAAGAGUAUGGUAAUGAACACAGAAUAAUUAAUGUUUGAUUCUCAUUUUCAAUCUUAAUACCUAUGUUAUUAAGUUCUUAAUUAAAGAAUUAAACUCAUCAAAAUGUUAUUUAAUGGGCGUACCUUCACUCAUUCUUAGAUUGUACAACCUUAUCUUCAAAUAAAGACGAUUCGUCAGUGAUUUUAUAGAGUACAACCCUUCCAGUUUCUUCCACGCAGUUGAAGCCGAAUGCUCUUCAAUAACUUCUCGUAGAACAUUGUCAUUCAUGCUCAUAAAAAUUGCACAUACGGCUCUAUCCUGCAUAUUUAUCUUUUCCGAGUCUCUCAUACUCUCAGGAUAUCUUUCUUCAAUUGCCCCCCAUAUAUCUUGUAAAACCAGAUACGAUCUUUUUUUAAUCUUCAGCAGAAUAAAACUCAUACCACCAUCAAACUUCUCUAUCUUUUACUUUGUGGAUGUCAUCUUGAAUCCCUAUACUGUGCACCAAAAACCAAACUGAGAGAAAUAACACUAUUAGAAAACAAAAAACCACUCAUAUGGAGUCACUACUGCACAGAAAACCAUCACACGUAACCACUGGAGCUCCGACACGAGCCGUUGCGUGCCGUUACACGCCGCCAUGCGCUCCUCCACACGUCAUCACACACGAAGCCCCCGGGGAUAUCACGCACCGCCGCUGUUUGCCGCUCAUCGCAGCCGAAAAUGACUAAAAAACCAUAGAAAAUGCGAACGAUUCCAAACCCAACACUGAUCUGGUGAGAUCGCAUCGAGGGACACCGGAAAUCACCGUCACGCAAGACAGGCCGUCGCGCAUCUUGUUCUUCUCCAACGAUCUUCUGUCGCUCCAUCUCUCUCCAGAUCUUCUAAUUUCAUGCACAGACGAGACCAAAUGUUGCCGAUCCACCUUCGGUUUCUCUUCUCCGACCCUCCUCACGCGAAGUUGAUUUUUUCUUCUGGUGGCCGUGGAUCGGUUGUCUUCUCCGAGCCAUGCGGUUCCUCUUCUCGAUAUGAAUGUUCUGCUCUGGCCACGCUGAAGAAAUCGUCCUGCACCAUGAUAGAAAUCGAGCUUCUUCCGCCGCCGGCAUGCAAGAAACACACAGAUCGGAUUUGAUAUGGUCGCACUUCGUCUUCUUCGUCGGAAACCCGCCAGAGACUGUUUGGUUGUACAAGUCCGGCCGAAUAGGUUCUUCACAGAUCUGAUUGUGACUUUUCAACUUCUUCUAACUUUCUCUCACUAAUCCGUGUUCAAACUCGAGCUCUUAUACCACUUGUUGGAGAAAAUUAUUUCCUAAAGCAAGUACAAUCACAAUAAAAUAAAAGUAAAAAGAAAAAGGACACAAGAUUUUACCUGAUUUGACAAUGUGCUUAAAUCUAGGGACAAGAUUGGUAAAAAAGUAUUUUAUUAUGUAAUCUAUAUCACCAAUAAGUUAGCAAAUCUAUUUAUAAAGAAUAUAGCAAAAUUUUUCACAAACAAAAACUCUUUAAAAUAUACAUCAAAUAUUUCUCAUAAUAAAUAUAAAGAAAAUCCAAAUGAAUUAUUCCGCAAAAUAUAAAUAAAUAUCACCAAAAUUCAAGACACAUCAACAAACUUAUUAAUAGAUCCUCUCAAACAGUGAAAUUAUACAAAUGAUGUGAAAGGCAAGGAAGAAAAACACUGUUUCACAGUACUAUCAUCUUCAAUAGUAACAUAAAAAAAUGCACACCAAACACAAACACAUACAAGAGGGCAAUUCAUCAAAGAAGGAACAAUAUUCAGCUUCCUUGAUACAACAAGACAAGAAUUGCAUGCCGGAGAUUGUAUGGGGCAGAAGAAAUGGCGGAAAAAUAGUAGAAAAAGAGAGAUUGAACAAUAAAUUUCAAGUAGAAAUUACUUGAUGCAUGGAUCAUUCUUCUAAAUAUAUUCCAACUUUGAUGCAAGAGAUAUCAAGUAGAAAUUACAAUUGUUAACAAGUAUAGUUGAUAAGUAUGCUUAUAAAUUGCUAAAAGUAAUAGCAUGCUCUGCUGCCAUUAGAUUUUAAUAUAAAAAAGAAAAUAACAAACCCAGGGCAUUAAUUAAAUACAUACAAUGACAUAAAACUGCAAUCAUAACAAACCUGGAGUUAUUUUUCAAAGUUCUGGAAGCCUUCAUUCAUGUGUAAUUUCAUUUGCUCAGUAAUUUCAUUUGUUCACUUCUGAGAGGCCAUGUGUUUUCUACGGGGAGGGAGCUUUGGCAACCCAAGACAUGCCUGACUGUCAUCAGAUUGUUCCUCAACUCCAGAACUCUUGGUCAUAAUCCAGUUUUGUAUUGACCGAACAAAAAGAAAGAAGCACGUAAAAAAUUCAUCAAGUUUUGGGCAUUCUCCCCCUGUUAAUCUUUCAAGAGAAGGCAAUGCAGCUCCGAUGCUUUUCAACUCCGGCAGCUCAAACAAAUGCAGAGUCCUUAGAUAUUUCAUUGCAGGCACGGUUGUUCCAUCAAACUCAAAAACACGUUUGAGAUUAUCACAAAACCUAAUCUCAAGAGUCUGAAGAUUCAUUGGUUGUCGGGACAAGGAGAAAACAAUUUCCAGUAGUGGACAACAUUCUAGAUACAGAUGCUUAAGAUUACUGAAUCUCUCAAUUUGCAAAUUCUUGUUGAAUAUACUCUUCAAAUUAGGGAGGUUAAGAAUCUGCAGAAUCUCAAGUUUGUUUGACACUCCAAUGGCUUCCUCUUCUCUACUGAAAACACUCUCCACGUUGCUGCAUCUCUCCAUGCAACAGCCUCUCAUUGCGCUGAUAUUGUUUGCACCUAAUUCAGAUAACCAACUGAUAUUUGCAUUAUCUCGCAAACAUAUAUAUUGAGCACGCCUGAGAACACCCUCCAGACCGAGGAAAGGACUGCAAGACCGAAUUUUCCAAAGACUGCCUGUGGAUUUCCGAGUAACUAGGAAAACAUCUGGUCCUUGUGUAAAUAUCACUAAAUUUGGCUUCAUCUCUGUGGCUAAAGAAAUCUCCAUCUUCACCAUGCUUUAUUGGAGGUAAAACAGAAAAAUGAAAUUGCUUGAUGUAUGCAUCCCAUAACAUUGGGAUUGUUGUCCAACAUUUUGAAAAACUUCCUGCCACGAACCAUUAUGUGGAGAUUAUUUGCACUCAAUGGAAAUAUUUUUGCCGCCCCAAAGAUGCCACAAUCAACCCAAUUUAGUUCCUCUGGUAGGCGCUUUAUCCUCCUCCAAUUAAUUUCUUCAGUAUCCUUCAGGAGGGGGAGAUAAAGUUGUUUAAGGCAAGGCAACUCUGAGAUCUCAUAUGGAAAUUCUUUUAUCCCAGUACCCCUUAGAUCAAGAACCUCCAAGUGACUAAGUGAUUCCAAAUGCUGCAGCUUCUUCAGGCACCAACAAUCUCUUAGCAAUAGCCUGCAGAGGUUGCAAAAGAAGUUCAAGGAAGGAAGGUGUUUGACUGGUGUUUCUGAAAGAUCAAGAACUUCAAGCCUCGUAAGCUUUUCCAAGCCUGACAUGUCUUCCAUGCGUGACCACCCUCUCAAUGACAACUGGGUUAAGUUACUUAGGAAGAAGAUAUCUAUGUAAAUAGGAGUUUUAGACAGGUUGAGAAUCCGAAGGUUCCUCAUAUAAUUAAGUAAAUCACUCAUCGAAUGAAGUCCUCCAGGAGGAUGUCUUAGAUUAGAAAUAUUGAGCUCCUCAAGAUUUGAUAGAGACCCUAUAAUGGGAAAGUAAACAUCCCGAAUUCCACAAAGUCUGAGUAUCCGAAGUUGAGACAAACCCAAAAGAGUAUUGGAAUACUCACCAUGUAAUGACAACUCAGUGCAACCAGAAAGAUCAAUCGCUUCCAGAUUUUUGGGGACAGCUGGCAACCGGCUAAGG